GAUGACUCAGGGUUAAACUGUCAACCCUUAUUAGAUCAUCUGAAUCGUGCUCAACUCAAAUAGUCUGUGACUCCUCACUAGGACUACCCUGGUCAAGAUUUUGCUAAAUUAAAAUAUGACUGUACACAGCUCCUGAAUAGGAGUGGUCAAUCCUAUCUUGACACACGCACCAACAAGUCAAGUACUUGACUACACCCAGCAUCCUUCUGUCACUGAAUUAGAAAUUCAGGUAGUCCAGUGCCUAAGUGCAGUGAGUUGCUUGCAAGUCACCAUGGUGGUC
This 280-nucleotide long non-coding RNA is filed under the name Elaeis guineensis (African oil palm). Its description in RNAcentral is "long non-coding RNA (EGUI_LNC072163)". The record is from RNAcentral. Lineage: Eukaryota; Viridiplantae; Streptophyta; Magnoliopsida; Arecales; Arecaceae.